GAUGCAGUGUCGUGUGAAGUGAUUAAAUAUUGGCACUGUCCGUGUUUUAAACUGCACAAGUAGCGAAUAGCUGUUCCUCAAGACUGCUAUGCGCCGAAGUUUUCUCUAUCUCCAAACUAUAAUAAAAGGGUUGGUUCAUUCUGCAAACAUUCUGGACAUCAGCUCUGAAUGUAAAGAAUACAUUAUAAUCGAUGCUUCCUAGAGAUUAUGCGACAGCUGCCAUGCCGUAAUCAACUAAGUCAUUAUUAAUUUAUUAUUUUUAUUGAUUUCUCUACUACUUCUCUCACAAUUCUGUGUGAAUAUUUUUUGUGUGAAUAAACUUCUUUCAGUGCAAA
Dermacentor albipictus is the source of this 335-nucleotide long non-coding RNA. RefSeq lists it as uncharacterized. The record is from RefSeq and is a predicted model, not a curated record. Lineage: Eukaryota; Metazoa; Arthropoda; Arachnida; Ixodida; Ixodidae.